GCACUCACUUUGGCAGCACAUAUACUAAAAUUGGAACGAUACAGAGAAGAUUAGCAUGGCCCCUGCUCAAGGAUGACACACAAAUUCGUGAAGCGUUCCAUACUUAA
RNAcentral lists this small nuclear RNA (107 nucleotides) under Sorex araneus (European shrew). Lineage: Eukaryota; Metazoa; Chordata; Mammalia; Eulipotyphla; Soricidae. The record is from RNAcentral.